CCUUCGGGGCCCCGGUAAAGUGGCGCACGGGUGAGUAACACGUGGGUAACCUACCCCCGGGCGGGGGAUAACGUUCCGAAAGGAGCGCUAAUACCGCAUGAGACCACGGCCUGAAACGGCUGAGGUCAAAGCAGGCCUCUGCAUGCAAGCUUGCACCUGGGGAUGGGCCCGCGGCCCAUCAGGUAGUUGGCAGGGUAACGGCCUACCAAGCCUAAGACGGGUAGCUGGUCUGAGAGGAUGAUCAGCCACACUGGAACUGAGACACGGUCCAGACUCCUACGGGAGGCAGCAGUGGGGAAUCUUGCGCAAUGGGCGAAAGCCUGACGCAGCGACGCCGCGUGAGUGAUGAAGGCCCUAGGGUUGUAAAGCUCUGUGGAGAGGGACGAAUAAGCGCCGGCGAAUAUCCGGCGUGAUGACGGUACCUUUUUAGCAAGCACCGGCUAACUCUGUGCCAGCAGCCGCGGUAAGACAGAGGGUGCAAACGUUGUUCGGAAUUACUGGGCGUAAAGCGCGUGUAGGCUGUCAUGCAAGUCGGGUGUGAAAGCCCAGGGCUCAACCCUGGAAGUGCACUCGAAACUGCAAGACUUGAGUCUCGGAGAGGAAAGCGGAAUUCUGGGUGUAGAGGUGAAAUUCGUAGAUAUCCAGAGGAACACCGGUGGCGAAGGCGGCUUUCUGGACGAGUUCUGACGCUGA
This 693-nucleotide ribosomal RNA is filed under the name uncultured Pseudomonadota bacterium. RNAcentral's name for it is "bacterial SSU rRNA". It matches the Rfam family "Bacterial small subunit ribosomal RNA", at positions 77 to 749 of the family's 1533-position model. Lineage: Bacteria; Pseudomonadati; Pseudomonadota. The record is from RNAcentral.